GCAAACUUGGUCAUUUAGAGGAAGUAAAAGUCGUAACAAGGUUUCCGUAGGUAAGUUUUAUCAGACGGGGCACCUAAAGCCCUUCUAUUCUCAAUGUCACAGACCUAUAUAACUAACAAACUUUUAGGUGAACCUGCGGAAGGAUCAUUACCGAGAUAGGGUCUCUUCGGAGCCCGACCUCCCAACCCCAUGUUUAUGUGUACCUUUGUGUUGCUUCGGCGGGACCGUCUCUCUGUCGGAGAGACCGCCGGGGGGUCGUGCAAUGCAAACGCCCCCGGGCCCGUCGCCCGCCGACGGCCUCCAACCACAAAUUCUUGUCCUAAACUGUGUCUUCUAAGUGAAAAACAAGCAAAGAAAACAAAACUUUCAACAACGGAUCUCUUGGUUCUGGCAUCGAUGAAGAACGCAGC
RNAcentral lists this unclassified non-coding RNA (410 nucleotides) under uncultured fungus. RNAcentral describes it as "partial contains small subunit ribosomal RNA, internal transcribed spacer 1, and 5.8S ribosomal RNA". The stretch from base 1 to 150 matches the Rfam family "Eukaryotic small subunit ribosomal RNA", at positions 1759 to 1831 of the family's 1831-position model. Lineage: Eukaryota; Fungi. The record is from RNAcentral.